GACUGGAUGUUGAUCGCAUGGUCUUCUGGGAAGCUUUCGCGGUAUGGGAUGGGGUCGCGUCCUAUCAGCUUGACGGCGGGGUAACGGCCCACCGUGGCUUCGACGGGUAGCCGGCCUGAGAGGGCGACCGGCCACAUUGGGACUGAGAUACGGCCCAGACUCCUACGGGAGGCAGCAGUGGGGAAUAUUGCACAAUGGGCGCAAGCCUGAUGCAGCGACGCCGCGUGAGGGAUGGAGGCCUUCGGGUUGUAAACCUCUUUUAUCGGGGAGCAAGCGUGAGUGAGUUUACCCGUUGAAUAAGCACCGGCUAACUACGUGCCAGCAGCCGCGGUAAUACGUAGGGUGCAAGCGUUAUCCGGAAUUAUUGGGCGUAAAGGGCUCGUAGGCGGUUCGUCGCGUCCGGUGUGAAAGUCCAUCGCUUAACGGUGGAUCCGCGCCGGGUACGGGCGGGCUUGAGUGCGGUAGGGGAGACUGGAAUUCCCGGUGUAACGGUGGAAUGUGUAGAUAUCGGAAAGAACACCCA
RNAcentral lists this ribosomal RNA (523 nucleotides) under Bifidobacterium longum subsp. infantis. RNAcentral describes it as "bacterial SSU rRNA". It matches the Rfam family "Bacterial small subunit ribosomal RNA", at positions 167 to 712 of the family's 1533-position model. The record is from RNAcentral. Lineage: Bacteria; Bacillati; Actinomycetota; Actinomycetes; Bifidobacteriales; Bifidobacteriaceae.